UACGUAGGGUGCGAGCGUUAAUCGGAAUUACUGGGCGUAAAGCGUGCGCAGGCGGUUUUGUAAGCCAGAUGUGAAAUCCCCGGGCUUAACCUGGGAAUGGCAUUUGGGACUGCAAGGCUUGAGUGCGGCAGAGGAGACUGGAAUUCCUGGUGUAGCAGUGAAAUGCGUAGAUAUCUGGAGGAAUACCGGUGGCGAAGGCGGCAUCCUGGACCGGCAUUGACGCUGAGGAGCGAAAGCCAGGGGAGCAAACAGG
Molecule: ribosomal RNA, 253 nt
Filed under: uncultured bacterium
Lineage: Bacteria
Description: partial 16S ribosomal RNA
Rfam family: Bacterial small subunit ribosomal RNA
Source: RNAcentral